Molecule: ribosomal RNA, 431 nt
Filed under: uncultured bacterium
Lineage: Bacteria
Description: bacterial SSU rRNA
Rfam family: Bacterial small subunit ribosomal RNA
Source: RNAcentral
CCUACGGGUGGCAGCAGUAGGGAAUCUUCCACAAUGGACGAAAGUCUGAUGGAGCAAUGCCGCGUGAGUGAAGAAGGGUUUCGGCUCGUAAAACUCUGUUGUUAGAGAAGAACGGGCGUGAGAGUAACUGCUCACGUCGCGACGGUAUCUAACCAGAAAGUCACGGCUAACUACGUGCCAGCAGCCGCGGUAAUACGUAGGUGGCAAGCGUUGUCCGGAUUUAUUGGGCGUAAAGCGAGCGCAGGCGGUCUUCUAAGUCUGAUGUGAAAGCCUUCGGCUUAACCGGAGAAGUGCAUCGGAAACUGGGAAACUUGAGUGCAGAAGAGGACAGUGGAACUCCAUGUGUAGCGGUGAAAUGCGUAGAUAUAUGGAGGAACACCAGUGGCGAAGGCGGCUGUCUAGUCUGUAACUGACGCUGAGGCUCGAAAGCA